Molecule: long non-coding RNA, 796 nt
Filed under: Mytilus galloprovincialis (Mediterranean mussel)
Lineage: Eukaryota; Metazoa; Mollusca; Bivalvia; Mytilida; Mytilidae
Source: RNAcentral
CAAAAGGGGGGUUCAAUAAAUUGGGGGGGGGGGGGGGAUCUCAGUUUACCAUUUUUUUAAGGGAUUUUUUUUUUUUCAACAUUUUUCAAAUUUCAAAUUUUGAAAAGUUUCAAUAAGAAAUAUUCAAUUGCACAGUAUUGUGCAAUAGAUGUGUUAGAUCUUGAACCACAUUAAUUUUGUGGCAAAAACCUAUAUUAUGUCAAAAAUUUGAUCACAAUCAAAAUUCAGACGGUAUCAAGCUUGAAUAUUGUGACCAAAUUUGCCCCAACUGUUCAGGGUUCGACCACUGGGGUCGUAUAAAGCUGCACCCUGCGGAGCACCUGGUUGACAAUUAUGAACACGUUGAGAUUUUUUUUCAUGUGAUCUGGAAAAUUUAAGAAAUGUAAACAUUACGCAAAUCGUCGGCUACUUCUGUUUGACUUUGCCUGCGUCGCAGGUGUUUUGAGUGAUUUUAUUGACCGAUCUCAUCGACGCUUUUCAGUAUUUUUAAUUUACAAUAACUUGUCUGCACCUCUUUUUUGUUUCUUUUCUCGCUGAAACUGUAAAUUCGCGUACCAUUUCCGCGAUAACAUUUCCCUGUUCAACCAUUUUCCCUUUGAGGCACAAUGUGCGAUUGCGCAUUGGGAACUGAAGAGUAAAGGUCAUAUGAAUAAGGGUUGGGCUUAACAUCGAAUUAUUAUCUAUAGACAAUAAAUAAAUGUAGGUGUUAAACGUUAAAAAGCUUCUAAAUGCUUAAUAGAACGUAACCAGUAAUUGUUUUAAUCAUAAUUAUUUUACUUUUUGUACAAAAUCCGGC